Molecule: unclassified non-coding RNA, 240 nt
Filed under: soil metagenome
Description: partial contains 5.8S ribosomal RNA, internal transcribed spacer 2, and large subunit ribosomal RNA
Source: RNAcentral
AACCUUAUGGACCUGCGGGCGUAUACCUGCGGAGGGAUCAUUAAUGAAUAAACUUGGUCAAGCUGUUGCUGGUCUCUCGGGAUAUGCGCACGCUUGCCACCAAUUUUAACCACCUGUGCACUUCUUGUAGAUUGGAAACGUUUCUCGAGGCAACUCGGAUUGAGAACUGCUGUGCGAAAGCCGGCUGUUCUUGUGUUUCUCAGUCUAUGUUUCAUAUACUCCGAAUGUAUGUAUAAGAAU